This 6969-nucleotide long non-coding RNA is filed under the name Triticum aestivum (bread wheat). Its description in RNAcentral is "long non-coding RNA (TAES_LNC010726)". Lineage: Eukaryota; Viridiplantae; Streptophyta; Magnoliopsida; Poales; Poaceae. The record is from RNAcentral.
GCGCGAGUCAGGGGCCCGUUCGACCCGUUGGGUUCGAACGGGAUAGAGAUCAACCUAACAUUCUCCCCCUUGAUCUCAACUUUACUUUUAACCUUAUACUUUCUAGUUUAUUUGUUUCAUCACAUAUUGGUACAUAGAGCAUGUUUCAUCGUCAUAGCUCAAUUGCCGAUAGAAUCAUACAGCUACAACAUACGUUAUGUUCAGAAACAAAUUCUGUUCCUUUUGGGCCUAUCCAGGAAUCAUAAGGCUUUCCCUUAAACCCAUGCCGGCUAAGUGUUCCUUGAACACAUUGGGUGGUAAGCCUUUCGUUAGCGGAUCCGCAAGCAUAUCUUUUGUCUUUAUAUGCUCGAGACUUAUAGUUUGAUCCUGGAUUUUAUCUUUCACAACAUAGUACUUUAUCUCUAUUGUUUUGGCAGCAUUACUCGACUUGUUGUUGUGAGCGUAAAAUACCGCGGGCUGAUUGUCGCAAUACAUCUUUAGUGGUUUGUGAAUACAAUCUACCACUUUCAAGUCGGGUACAAAUUUCUUUAGCCAUAUCGCCUGUCCCGUGGCUUCGAAGCAUGCUAUGAAUUCUGCAUACAUCGUGGAUGAUGCAACUGUCGACUGUUUGGAGCUUUUCCACGAAAUAGCUCCCCCAGCGAGGGUGAAUACGUAUCCUGACGUGGAUUUUCUAUCAUCUUUGUCCCCCGCAAAAUCUGCGUCUGAAUACCCUUUUAUCUGUAGGGAAUCAGAUCUCUUGUAUGUUAGCAUGUAGUCCUUCGUGCCUUGCGCAUAACACAAUGCUUUCUUUACCAUCUUCCAGUGCUCUAUGCCUGGAUUCUCUUAAUAUCUACCGAGUACCCCGGUGAUAAAGGCUAAGUCAGGGCGAGUGCACACUUGUGCAUACUGUAAGCUGCCAACUGCCGAAGCAUAUGGUACUCCUUUCAUUUGAUCGAUCUCAUACUGAUUCUUGGGACAUUGAAAUUUCCCAAAAUUGUCGCCCUUAACUAUAGGAGCAGGUGUGGCUUUACUCGCAUGCAUAUUAUACUUUUUAAUAACCUUCUCCAAAUAUGCUUUCUGCGAUAGUCCUAAGACUCCAUUGUUUCUAUCUCGGUGAAUUUCUAUGCCCAAAACAUAUGAUGCUUCACCAAGAUCUGUUAUGUCAAAAUUCGAGGAUAAGAACUUCUUAGUUUUUUGUAGUAGACUAACAUCACUGCUAGCAAGCAGAAUGUCAUCCACAUACAAGAUUAGGAAAAUAUAUUUCCCAUUUUUAAACUUUGCAUAAAUGCAGUUAUCCUCAAUAUUUUCUUUAAAUCCAAAACUUUUAAUCGUUUGAUUAAACUUUAAAUACCACUGCCUAGAGGCUUGCUUUAAUCCAUAAAUGGAUUUCUUUAGGCGGCAUCCCAUAUUUUCCUUGCCUUCCAUGAUAAAAUCCUUGGGCUGUUUCAUGUAUACAUUUUCUUUUAAAUCUCCGUUUAGAAAUGCCGUCUUUACAUCCAUUUGAUGUAACUCUAAAUCAAAAUGAGCAACUAAUGCCAUUAUGAUUCUGAAGGAAUCCUUACAUGAGACCGGAGAAAAUGUCUCUUUGUAAUCUAUUCCUUCUCUUUGUGUAAAUCCUUUUGCCACGAGUCGUGCUUUAUAUUUUUCUAUAUUCCCUUUAGAGUCAUACUUAAUUUUGUAGACCCAUUUGCAGCCUACUGAUUUGGCUCCUUUAGGAAUUUCCUCUAAGUCCCAAACAUCUUUGGAACUCAUUGAUUUCAUCUCGUCCUCCAUUGCCUUCAUCCACAUCGAUGAAUGAGGGCUUCUCAUGGCUUCUUCAUAUGAGGUGGGAUCUUUUUCCAUAUGAACCAUUUCUGUGUUAUAAACUUUAAAGUCAGUUGAAAUAGCUGACUUUCUUGGUCUUGUAGACCUUCUAAGGGCCUCAGUUUCUGGCACAUUCUGUGCCUCAACUUCUGGCACUUCUUCUAAAAUUUGCUGCUGCACCUCCCUUUCAUGCUCAACAACGGGUUCAGUCGGCUCCUGACGGACAGGUUCUGGGUCUGCCCCCAUAGUUGUCAUGGGUGGAGUUGCAACUGGUAGUGAGAAAAAUGGCUCCUGAAUCAUCGGAUUAGGUGCAUGCACCCUCUUCUCCUCAAGAUCAAUUUUCCGAGCUACCAAGCUCCCCCUCAUCAUUUCGUCCUCUAAGAAGACUGCAUGUCUCGUUUCUACAAACUUUGUAUAUCUGUCUGGGCAGUAGAAACAAAAACCCUUUGAUCUGUCUGGAUAGCCAAUAAAGUGGCAACUCACUGUUUUGGGAUCUAACUUUCCAAUGUUUGGAUUAAACAUUUUGGCCUCAGCAGGGCACCCCCACACCCUGAAGUGUUGUAGGGAUGGCACCCUUCCUGUCCAUAGCUCGUACGGUGUUUUGGGCACCGACUUGCUUGGUACUCUAUUGAGAAUGUGAAUGGCGGUUUUAAGCGCCUCCAUCCAUAAUCCCAAUGGCAAGUUGGAAUAACUCAUCAUGCUGCGCACCAUAUCCAUAAGUGUACGGUUGUGCCUUUCAGCUACUCCAUUUUGCUGAGGUUCGCCCGGCAUUGAAUACUGGGCAACUAUGCCAGUCUCCUGCAAGAACUUUGCAAAAGGUCCAGGGACUUGGCCAUAUGGAGUGUGCCGACCGUAGUACUCUCCCCCACGGUCGGACCUAACUAUCUUUAUUCUUUUAUCAUGCUGAUUUUCAACUUCAGCUUUGAAUAUUUUAAAUUUAUCCAACGCUUCAGAUCUUUCUUUGAUUGGAUAAAUAUAUCCAUAGCGAGAGUAAUCAUCUGUGAAUGUUAUGAACGAGUCAUAUCCAUCCACACUUUUCACCGGAAAUGGUCCACAAAUAUCAGUGUGGAUGAUUUCUAGUGUGCCUGUGCUAUGGAUUGCACCUUUUUUGAUUUGUUUUACGUACUUUCCUUUAACGCAAUCUAUGCAUUGUUCUAAGUCUGAAAAUUCUAACGGAGGAAGAAUUUCACUUUUGACUAAUCUUUCUAUUCUCCCCUUCGAAAUAUGGCCCAAACGACAGUGCCAUAGUUUCGAUGAGUCGAAUGUUCUUUUUCUUUUCUUUUGCUCUUUAUUCGACGCGGAACCAUUUUCGGUCACAUUGCAAACGGAAUAAACUUUUUUAUGAAGUGAUAACAAAUAAAGCUCAUCAUGGAGUAAAGCAUCACCCACAUAAGCAUUAUUAUACCAAAUGGCACACUUGCCAUGUCCAAAAUGACAUUCAUAAUUAUCUUUGUCCAAACAAGAAACACUAAUUAAGUUUCUAUGACAAGAUGGAACAAAUAAAACAUCUCUAAGUAGAAGAUUGAAUCCGCCAGCUAACUCCAAGGAGAUAUCACCGACAGCUUCAACUUCUGCUUCAACUCCGUUUGCCACUUCAAUGCGUCUUUCGCUUCUUAGCGUAGUUCGCGUCGAAUGGAAUCCCUGUAAAGAAUUUGCAACAUGAACAGUUGCCCCUGAAUCAAUCCACCAAGUGGAUUUUGAAAACUGUGUAUACAAGGAUUCAUUGACAAAUGAAACUAUAUUGUUACCUCUUUUUGCCAUGACUGACUUCAACCAAGCAGCGCAGUCUUUCUUGUAAUGCCCUUUCUGCUUGCAGUGGAGACACGUGUCUUUGUUCACUGAGAAAGGCUGUUGCUGAUGCUGAUAGGGGGCUUUUCCAUUCUUUGAAGGAGAACUUUUGUUGUUUUGAUUGUAGUUCUUUUUCUUCCAAUCCUUCACAUAGUUGAUUGAACCACCAUGUGCGGCUUUGAGUCUGUCCUCUUCUUGGACACACAUUGCUAUUGUCUUUUCAAUGUCCCAUGUUCCAGGUGACAUAUUAUAGUUUACAACAAAAGUUGCAAACUCCUGUGGCAGUGAAGCCAUGACCAGGUGGACCAGGAGUGCUGGUUUGAUCUCCAGAUCCGCAUCCAUGGGCUUGAGCUUUGCUGCCAUAUUGCUCAUCCUGAGGAUGUGCUCUCUUAUUCCACGACUACCACCUGUGUAGCGUUCUAUCACCAGUUGCUCUAACACUUGGGUAGCAUAGAUCUUUGAAGAGCCAGUGAACUGGCUCUUUAUCUUUGUAAGCAACUCCCCUGCGGAAGUGCACUCUGGAAUGGAGCCCACAAUGGCGCUCUCAACUGUAUUCUUUAUAAAAGCCAUGCACUUUUUGUUUGCAUUGACCCACUUUUGGUUAUCUAUGAGGUAGGAUUGCUCCAAAAGAGCAUAGUCCCCUUUCUUUUUAGCCCAUGCAUCAUCAUCAUCAAUGCCCUCUCUUACUGGCUCUGUGGGUCUGACCGGCUGUGGUUUCACCAUAACCCAGUCAAGAUCAGCACAAAUAAAUGCCAGAUCAACUUUCUUCCUCCACUCAGUGUGGUUGUCACCUCUGAGUGUCGGAACUUCUUUUAGGCAACUCAUCAAGUGAAAGCCUCCUGAAAUCACAAUUUAAGUGACAUCAAUAAAACAAUCAUAUGCAAUAAUCUAACGUUGGUCAAAUUAAACAUACAAUUGUCUAUGCAAUUAAAUCUAUAUUACCGUUGGGCAAAAUAUUAGAAAUAAAUGCACCUUUAAAUUUCAAUAAUAGAACAUGAUCAUGUUAUUAAUAACGUUGGUCAUAAAAAAUAACAUAAUCAUAUCAUUUCAAUAAUUACUUUAACAUGCUCUUAAAAACAUAAUUCUAUCUAAACUUUUAUUUUCUUUUUAAAGAGCACUAAUUAUUUAUUUACGCAGCGGAAAAACGUGAAUAAAAAAUUCACGAACUUUUUACUUUUACAGAAACUUUUCUUUGAUAAAAAAUAAAAAUAAAAAUUCAUGAACUUUAUUAUCAUCUCUGUAAAAUUCAUGAACAUUUCUUUUUCUGAAAAUUUUAGUUUUUUCAUUUUCAGAACUUUUUCUGUUUACUUUUCUAUUUUCUAAACAAAAAAUUUUGUUGGAAAAAAUUGCAUAGAAAACACUAUUUGAAAUCUGCAAAAAACUGGACAAAUAACAAAAAACUUAAAAUAAAAACGAGCAGCACAGCGCCGGCCUGCCCUCUUGCCCGGUCCACGGCCUGCAGCAGCACGCUCGCGCGGGCCGACCUGGCCGCAGCGCAGUCCAGCCGCCCGGCGGGCCUCGGCCUUGCGCCGCCCAGCCGCCAAGCCAGCCCAGUAGGCCCGGUUGGCUCUAGGUUUUGCAUCUAAGCCGUCCAUCGCGAUCCAACGGCAUCGGGGAAACAAAAACUGGCACCGAGGGAAACCCUCGGUCACUUUCCUCCCCCACGCGCCGCUCGCCUCGCUCUCGGCCGCUCGCUCCUCUCUCGCCCGCUCGCUCGGUGACGGCUCCACGAGCCACGCUGGCGCAGCGAGCCAGGGCGGAGCGGCGAGCCCAGGCGGCACCCCGACAAGCCAGGCCCUUCCCCUUCCCCUCCCCUCUCCGUUUCCAAGAGAGACAGAGAGGAUCCCCGUUUUUCAUUUCAGCGAGAGGAAGAGUGCAGCCAGAUCGCGCCGUGGCUAUCCUCCUCGUCGGUGGCGCGUCCUCCCUCGCGGUGAGCGCGCCGCCGCCGAGGGAUUUGGCCGCGGUGCUCACCUCCUCCCUUUUUUCUGUGUGUGUCUUUUUCCUUUCUUUUCCGAGAGCAAUUGCUAGCUCCGGUGGUUCUUCGUCCCCGCACCUCGGCUUGCCGAUGCGUGUGGGGAUCGAGAGAAACAGGCGCGGCAUGCGGUGGCGCUCUUUGCCGGUGAGGCUCAAGGCCAAAAUCCGGUGGUUUACUUUGCCCUGUCUAGGGUUCUUGGGGGAGGGGAGGUCUUUUUCUUUUCUGUUUUUGUUUCUCUGUACCGAAAUUAACUAGCCCGAUCUGGCUCUGAUACCAUUGAUAGGACCUUAGAUCGGAGUGGGCUAGGAGAUCCAGUGAACCUACCUUCUCCUGGUGUGGAUGAACUCGAUCCAGCACCGGCCAUGAUGAUGGCAGAGUGUGGGCGAGGUGGUGGCGGUGGAGCUUCCCGUCGGCCUAGCGCAAAACCCUAGAUCGGAUUGGUGUUUCGGUGGUGUUGUGGUGCACGGUCAACCUCGUAAUUCGUGCCCCGGCACCCCACCUCUUUAUAUUGCGCUGGCGACAGGGGCCCACCAACCAUUGUUUGGUUGGGCGCCCCCGAUCAGGGCGCGAGUCAGGGGCCGUUCGACCCGUUGGGUUCGUACGGGAUAGAGAUCAACCUAACAAAAGUCCCUACGGCCAAGUGCAGAAUUGCAAGCAGAACAGAAGCAUGCUAGAUACUGUAGUACUUCCUAGUAGUAGCUAGGUAGCAUUAAACACAAAGCAUGCAUAAAACAACACACGAUGAAGUAGAAGAGAACUGAUGAUGAACUGGCCGUUUCCAUCAUAGUACAAGCAGAUCCCAGAAUGCAUGCUACUAGCUCCACGUCCGUGUCCGUACGUCUUCCUCCGGCGCAGGUCCGCUCCACAGCAAGCCUUCUUCCACGGGACGCCGACAGAAUCGUCGAGGACCACCACCUAGGCAAAGACAUCCGGCCGGCAGAUUAGCCCGGACGGUACAAGCACAACCAACACAGACCCCGUAAAAGGAAAAACCAAAGCAGCAUGCAUAUGGUACAUAUAUAGCGCAAGAUCGAACUUACCUGCCGGAGGUACGCACGGCCGGUGAAGGAGCUAGCAGCGUUGUUGGAGCUUCACACAGCGGCGCCGGCCGCCUGGCCGGCCCCUCCAGCCGCCUCGGCCUGGCCAUCCCCUCCCACCGCCAGGCCAUCGGCGCGGCCCCGGAUCCAGCGAACCACCUUCCUCGCCAAGUAAAAGCAUUUGACGAGGAACUCCACGGCCAACCAGCCGAGAAACACGGCCAAGAAGAUGAGAGUCAGCUCCACCAGGACGGCGACGAAGCCUUCACGGUCCAUUAUUACGCACGGCUUUCCUCGAGCGUGAUCGGCCGGAGGUCCGCCGGCCCGUUAUAAAGGCACGCAGGCUCCUGAUAGCCACAGCCGUGACCCGUGAGCAGCCCCCAUGUG